UGGGGAAUAUUGCACAAUGGGCGCAAGCCUGAUGCAGCCAUGCCGCGUGUGUGAAGAAGGCCUUCGGGUUGUAAAGCACUUUCAGCGGGGAGGAAGGCGUUAAGGUUAAUAACCUUGGCGAUUGACGUUACCCGCAGAAGAAGCACCGGCUAACUCCGUGCCAGCAGCCGCGGUAAUACGGAGGGUGUAAGCGUUAAUCGGAAUUACUGGGCGUAAAGCGCACGCAGGCGGUCUGUCAAGUCGGAUGUGAAAUCCCCGGGCUCAACCUGGGAACUGCAUUCGAAACUGGCAGGCUAGAGUCUUGUAGAGGGGGGUAGAAUUCCAGGUGUAGCGGUGAAAUGCGUAGAGAUCUGGAGGAAUACCGGUGGCGAAGGCGGCCCCCUGGACAAAGACUGACGCUCAGGUGCGAAAGCGUGGGGAGCAAACAGG
This 429-nucleotide ribosomal RNA is filed under the name Chloroflexota bacterium. RNAcentral's name for it is "Chloroflexi bacterium partial 16S ribosomal RNA". It matches the Rfam family "Bacterial small subunit ribosomal RNA", at positions 355 to 776 of the family's 1533-position model. The record is from RNAcentral. Lineage: Bacteria; Bacillati; Chloroflexota.